RNAcentral lists this ribosomal RNA (422 nucleotides) under uncultured bacterium. RNAcentral's name for it is "bacterial SSU rRNA". It matches the Rfam family "Bacterial small subunit ribosomal RNA", at positions 362 to 776 of the family's 1533-position model. The record is from RNAcentral.
UCUUGCGCAAUGGGCGAAAGCCUGACGCAGCGACGCCGCGUGAGGGCUGAAGGUCUUCGGAUCGUAAACCUCUGUCAGCAGGGAAGAACGGUCACUGUGCUAAUCAGCAGUGAAUUGACGGUACAUGCAAAGGAUGCCCCGGCUAACUCAGUGCCAGAAGCAGCGGUAAUACGGAGGGUGCGAGCGUUAAUCGGAAUUACUGGGCGUAAAGCGCUCGUAGGCGGUAUGUCAAGUCAAGGGUGAAAUCCCCGCGCUCAACGUGGGAACUGCCUUUGAAACUGGCAAACUGGAGUGUGUGAGAGGAUAGUGGAAUUCCAGGUGUAGGAGUGAAAUCCGUAGAUAUCUGGAGGAACAUCAGUGGCGAAGGCGACUAUCUGGCACAUAACUGACGCUGAGGAGCGAAAGCGUGGGUAGCAAACAGG